Molecule: ribosomal RNA, 1083 nt
Filed under: uncultured Basidiomycota
Lineage: Eukaryota; Fungi; Basidiomycota
Description: eukaryotic LSU rRNA
Rfam family: Eukaryotic large subunit ribosomal RNA (bases 648-1083)
Source: RNAcentral
CUUGGUCAUUUAGAGGAAGUAAAAGUCGUAACAAGGUUUCCGUAGGUGAACCUGCGGAAGGAUCAUUACCGAACUGUCGACACGAGUUGUUGCUGGCCCUCGAGAGGGGGCACGUGCACGCUCUGUUUACACAUCCACUCACACCUGUGCACCCUCUGUAGUUCUGUGGCCUUGGGGGCUCUGUCCCCUUGCCGUGGUCCUACGUCUUUACACACACACCGUAACAAAGUCUCAUGGAAUGUAUGUCGCGUUUGACGCAAUACAAUACAACUUUCAGCAACGGAUCUCUUGGCUCUCGCAUCGAUGAAGAACGCAGCGAAAUGCGAUAAGUAAUGUGAAUUGCAGAAUUCAGUGAAUCAUCGAAUCUUUGAACGCACCUUGCGCCCUUUGGCUAUUCUGAAGGGCAUGCCUGUUUGAGUAUCAUGAACACCUCAACUCUCAUGGUCUGCCGUGAUGAGCUUGGACUUUGGGGGUCUUGCUGGCCUAGCGUCAGCUCCUCUCAAAUGGAUCAGCUUGCCAGUGUUUGGUGGCACCACAGGUGUGAUAACUAUCUACGCUUGUGGUUUCCUGCCAUGUUAGCCUUCAGCAAUGGAGGUUCGCUGGAGCUCACAGAUGUCUCUCCUUGGUGAGGACAGCUUUUGAACGUUUGAUCUCAAAUCAGGUAGGACUACCCGCUGAACUUAAGCAUAUCAAUAAGCGGAGGAAAAGAAACUAACAAGGAUUCCCCUAGUAACUGCGAGUGAAGCGGGAAGAGCUCAAAUUUAAAAUCUGGCGUGCCUCUGGCCGUCCGAGUUGUAGUCUGGAGAAGCGUUUUCCGUGUUGGACCGUGUAUAAGUCUCUUGGAACAGGGCGUCAUAGAGGGUGAGAAUCCCGUCUUUGACACGGACUACCAAUGCUUUGUGAUGCGCUCUCAAAGAGUCGAGUUGUUUGGGAAUGCAGCUCAAAAUGGGUGGUAAAUUCCAUCUAAAGCUAAAUAUAGGCGAGAGACCGAUAGCGAACAAGUACCGUGAGGGAAAGAUGAAAAGCACUUUGGAAAGAGAGUUAAACAGUACGUGAAAUUGCUGAAAGGGAAACGCUUGAAGU